RNAcentral lists this ribosomal RNA (557 nucleotides) under uncultured bacterium. Its description in RNAcentral is "bacterial SSU rRNA". It matches the Rfam family "Bacterial small subunit ribosomal RNA", at positions 102 to 694 of the family's 1533-position model. The record is from RNAcentral.
ACGGGUGAGUAACGCGUGGGAAUCUACCCAUCUCUACGGAAUAACGCAUGGAAACGUGUGCUAAUACCGUAUACGUCCUUCGGGAGAAAGAUUUAUCGGAGAUGGAUGAGCCCGCGUUGGAUUAGCUAGUUGGUGGGGUAAAGGCCUACCAAGGCGACGAUCCAUAGCUGGUCUGAGAGGAUGAUCAGCCACACUGGGACUGAGACACGGCCCAGACUCCUACGGGAGGCAGCAGUGGGGAAUAUUGGACAAUGGGCGCAAGCCUGAUCCAGCCAUGCCGCGUGAGUGAUGAAGGCCCUAGGGUUGUAAAGCUCUUUCACCGGUGAAGAUAAUGACGGUAACCGGAGAAGAAGCCCCGGCUAACUUCGUGCCAGCAGCCGCGGUAAUACGAAGGGGGCUAGCGUUGUUCGGAUUUACUGGGCGUAAAGCGCACGUAGGCGGACUAUUAAGUCAGGGGUGAAAUCCCGGGGCUCAACCCCGGAACUGCCUUUGAUACUGGUAGUCUUGAGUUCGAGAGAGGUGAGUGGAAUUCCGAGUGUAGAGGUGAAAUCCGUAGA